RNAcentral lists this ribosomal RNA (86 nucleotides) under Diadegma semiclausum. RNAcentral describes it as "partial 5.8S ribosomal RNA". Lineage: Eukaryota; Metazoa; Arthropoda; Insecta; Hymenoptera; Ichneumonidae. The record is from RNAcentral. RNAcentral also lists the same sequence under 1 other name.
CUGCAGGACACAUGAACAUCGACAUUUCGAACGCACAUUGCGGUCCACGGAUACAAUUCCCGGACCACGCCUGGCUGAGGGUCGUU